CUGACAGUCAUCUAGGCCUACUCAAUCUUCACCUUUCUACGUAGGAAACACAGGGAUGAGCUGGAGGUCUUAAAGUCCCUGGCAGUGCUGUCGAAGAUUGGCUUGUUAAACAACUUCUUGAACAUAAUACCCAUCAAUAUAAUCGUGGAUGGAGUAAAACCAAAGCUAAAAUGACUCAAUCAAUGUGAUCAGAAUCAGAUUUGAACUUUUCUACUGAAAGCACCUUUAGGCCGCUACAUCACAUACAUCCACUUUCGGUUAGGAACAUUCCACUUUGCACCUACUGUAUACUGUAUUUUAACCAAUCACCAAUGUAAAGACCAAGGAUUUCAUCCUGCCACCUGGGAUGCAACUCCAAUUGAAUGAACUGUCAUUAUAGUAUUUUUCAGAUUUUUCCACAAACAACUUUUAGGUGUCAGUCAUAGCGGCACACGCACAUUACAUGUUGGGCUUUUGAUUACUGUUCUGGUUUUGUCAAUGCUACUUUUCCUGUUAUUGUAUACUUUGUGAAGAUUGUUCUCAAGUGAACCAUCAGAAGAAUGACAGGUGUUUGAGAUGCGAUGACUGAAGAAGUGGAAAUGUGAAGGAAAUGUUAUUGAAAGAGACAACAGAUGGAAGUGGACACAGAUGGACAAAAAAAAGAAGUAGACAAAAGCAGAGGUUGAGAGAUGAUCUGAAAUCAUA
Anneissia japonica is the source of this 684-nucleotide long non-coding RNA. RefSeq lists it as uncharacterized. Lineage: Eukaryota; Metazoa; Echinodermata; Crinoidea; Comatulida; Comatulidae. The transcript has 3 exons. The record is from RefSeq and is a predicted model, not a curated record.